This 95-nucleotide ribosomal RNA is filed under the name Anabaena sp. WA113. RNAcentral describes it as "partial 16S ribosomal RNA". It matches the Rfam family "Bacterial small subunit ribosomal RNA", at positions 1 to 106 of the family's 1533-position model. The record is from RNAcentral. Lineage: Bacteria; Bacillati; Cyanobacteriota; Cyanophyceae; Nostocales; Nostocaceae.
AAAAUGGAGAGUUUGAUCCUGGCUCAGGAUGAACGCUGGCGGUAUGCUUAACACAUGCAAGUCGAACGGUCUUUUAGGAGACAGUGGCGGACGGG